RNAcentral lists this ribosomal RNA (161 nucleotides) under uncultured bacterium. RNAcentral's name for it is "partial 16S ribosomal RNA". It matches the Rfam family "Bacterial small subunit ribosomal RNA", at positions 1340 to 1500 of the family's 1533-position model. The record is from RNAcentral.
AAUCGCGAAUCAGAAUGUCGCGGUGAAUACGUUCCCGGGCCUUGUACACACCGCCCGUCACACCAUGGGAGUUGGAAGCACCCGAAGUCGGUGACCUGACCGUAAGGAGGGAGCCGCCGAAGGUGAAGCCAGCGACUGGGGUGAAGUCGUAACAAGGUACC